Molecule: ribosomal RNA, 520 nt
Filed under: uncultured Variovorax sp.
Lineage: Bacteria; Pseudomonadati; Pseudomonadota; Betaproteobacteria; Burkholderiales; Comamonadaceae
Description: bacterial SSU rRNA
Rfam family: Bacterial small subunit ribosomal RNA
Source: RNAcentral
AGAGUUUGAUUAUGGCUCAGAUUGAACGCUGGCGGCAUGCCUUACACAUGCAAGUCGAACGGCAGCGCGGGAGCAAUCCUGGCGGCGAGUGGCGAACGGGUGAGUAAUACAUCGGAACGUGCCCAAUCGUGGGGGAUAACGCAGCGAAAGCUGUGCUAAUACCGCAUACGAUCUACGGAUGAAAGCAGGGGACCGCAAGGCCUUGCGCGAAUGGAGCGGCUGAUGGCAGAUUAGGUAGUUGGUGGGGUAAAGGCUCACCAAGCCGACGAUCUGUAGCUGGUCUGAGAGGACGACCAGCCACACUGGGACUGAGACACGGCCCAGACUCCUACGGGAGGCAGCAGUGGGGAAUUUUGGACAAUGGGCGCAAGCCUGAUCCAGCCAUGCCGCGUGCAGGAUGAAGGCCUUCGGGUUGUAAACUGCUUUUGUACGGAACGAAAAGUCUCCUUCUAAUAAAGGGGGAUCAUGACGGUACCGUAAGAAUAAGCACCGGCUAACUACGUGCCAGCAGCCGCGGUAA